This 433-nucleotide ribosomal RNA is filed under the name uncultured bacterium. Its description in RNAcentral is "partial 16S ribosomal RNA". It matches the Rfam family "Bacterial small subunit ribosomal RNA", at positions 29 to 507 of the family's 1533-position model. The record is from RNAcentral.
AACGAACGCUGGCGGCAUGCCUAACACAUGCAAGUCGAACGAGACCUUCGGGUCUAGUGGCGCACGGGUGCGUAACGCGUGGGAACCUGCCCUUAGGUUCGGAAUAACUCCCCGAAAGGGGUGCUAAUACCGGAUAAUGUCUUCGGACCAAAGAUUUAUCGCCUUUGGAUGGGCCCGCGUUGGAUUAGCUAGUUGGUAGGGUAAAAGCCUACCAAGGCGACGAUCCAUAGCUGGUCUGAGAGGAUGAUCAGCCACACUGGGACUGAGACACGGCCCAGACUCCUACGGGAGGCAGCAGUGGGGAAUAUUGGACAAUGGGCGAAAUCCUGAUCCAGCAAUGCCGCGUGAGUGAUGAAGGCCUUAGGGUUGUAAAGCUCUUUUACCCGGGAUGAUAAUGACAGUACCGGGAGAAUAAGCUCCGGCUAACUCCGUG